AAGUGCAGUAAUGCAUUAAGCUAACCAGUACUAAUUGCCCGUACGGCUUGUCCCUAUAACCUUGCCGGUUAUA
Molecule: ribosomal RNA, 73 nt
Filed under: Pseudoduganella ginsengisoli
Lineage: Bacteria; Pseudomonadati; Pseudomonadota; Betaproteobacteria; Burkholderiales; Oxalobacteraceae
Description: partial 23S ribosomal RNA
Source: RNAcentral